Molecule: non-coding RNA, 74 nt
Organism: Podarcis raffonei (Aeolian wall lizard)
Lineage: Eukaryota; Metazoa; Chordata; Lepidosauria; Squamata; Lacertidae
Source: the annotation of a RefSeq genome assembly
GGAAGAUCAUAGCUCAGUGGUAGAGCGUCUGCUUUGCAUGCAGAAGGUCCUAGGUUCAAUCCCCAGCAUCUCCA